ACCGGCAGCUAGCUCUCUGUAACUCUCACAUAGUCGCCCACUGAAGCUAAGCAGGGCUGCGCCUGGUCAGUAUCUGGAUGGGAGACCACAUGGGAAAGCUAGGUUGCUGCUGGAA
This 115-nucleotide ribosomal RNA is filed under the name Danio rerio (zebrafish). Lineage: Eukaryota; Metazoa; Chordata; Actinopteri; Cypriniformes; Danionidae. The record is from RNAcentral.